AUCAUUUAGAGGAAGGAGAAGUCGUAACAAGGUUUCCGUAGGUGAACCUGCGGAAGGAUCAUUGUCAAAACCUGCAAAGCAGCACGACCCGCGAACUCGUACACCAAACUGGGGAGGCAGGGGGGGUAAACCUUUCUCUGUCUUCCUCUCUGUCGGGGCAUUGCUCUGAGCCCUCUCAUGGAGGCGACGAUGCGUUCCCCGGCCUAACAACGAACCCCGGCGCGAACUGCGCCAAGGAAGCUGAACAAGAGAGCGCGACUCCGGGGCCCCGUUUUGCGGGUGCCAAGGGGUAGUGUGCCUUCUAUAAGAAAUUAAACGACUCUCGGCAACGGAUAUCUCGGCUCUCGCAUCGAUGAAGAACGUAGCGAAAUGCGAUACUUGGUGUGAAUUGCAGAAUCCCGUGAACCAUCGAGUUUUUGAACGCAAGUUGCGCCCGAAACCAUUAGGUCGAGGGCACGCCUGCCUGGGCGUCUCACAUCACCCUGCGCCCUCCCAGCACUCCUUCUGGCGUCUGGUGUCUGGGGCGUGGUAUAUUGGCCCCCCGUGCCCAGUGGAGCGCGGUCGGCCUAAAAUGGCACACACGACAUCUGUCGACACAAAACAGUGGUUGGCGAUUAGUCGUUACUAUCCUGUGGUGUCGCUUGCGGUGUCGGUUGUGUUGUAGACCCAGAGUGCCGUUGCGACGGUGCCUCGGUUGCGACCCCAGGUCAGGCGGGACUACCCGCUGAGUUUAAGCAUAU
RNAcentral lists this unclassified non-coding RNA (740 nucleotides) under Styrax chinensis. Its description in RNAcentral is "partial contains small subunit ribosomal RNA, internal transcribed spacer 1, 5.8S ribosomal RNA, internal transcribed spacer 2, and large subunit ribosomal RNA". The stretch from base 318 to 473 matches the Rfam family "5.8S ribosomal RNA". The record is from RNAcentral. Lineage: Eukaryota; Viridiplantae; Streptophyta; Magnoliopsida; Ericales; Styracaceae.